RNAcentral lists this ribosomal RNA (470 nucleotides) under uncultured bacterium. RNAcentral's name for it is "bacterial SSU rRNA". It matches the Rfam family "Bacterial small subunit ribosomal RNA", at positions 28 to 526 of the family's 1533-position model. The record is from RNAcentral.
GAUGAACGCUGGCGGCGUGCCUAACACAUGCAAGUCGAGCGUUCUCUUCGGAGAAGAGCGGCGGACGGGUGAGUAACGCGUGGGUAACCUGCCCUGUACACACGGAUAACAUACCGAAAGGUAUGCUAAUACGGGAUAAUGUAUUUUAGUCGCAUGGCUAAAAUAUCAAAGCUCCGGCAGUACAGGAUGGACCCGCGUCUGAUUAGCUAGUUGGUAAGGUAACGGCUUACCAAGGCGACGAUCAGUAGCCGACCUGAGAGGGUGAUCGGCCACACUGGAACUGAGACACGGUCCAGACUCCUACGGGAGGCAGCAGUGGGGAAUAUUGCACAAUGGGCGAAAGCCUGAUGCAGCAACGCCGCGUGAGCGAUGAAGGCCUUCGGGUCGUAAAGCUCUGUCCUCAAGGAAGAUAAUGACGGUACUUGAGGAGGAAGCCCCGGCUAACUACGUGCCAGCCGCCGCGGUAACAC